GGUGAUUCACUGGUAGAAUUUUUGCCUUCUGUGCAGGAGACCUGGGUUCAUUUCCCAGACAAACCA
This 66-nucleotide transfer RNA is filed under the name Loxodonta africana (African savanna elephant). It matches the Rfam family "tRNA". From Rfam's summary of the family: Transfer RNA (tRNA) molecules are approximately 80 nucleotides in length. Their secondary structure includes four short double-helical elements and three loops (D, anti-codon, and T loops). Further hydrogen bonds mediate the characteristic L-shaped molecular structure. tRNAs have two regions of fundamental functional importance: the anti-codon, which is responsible for specific mRNA codon recognition, and the 3' end, to which the tRNAs corresponding amino acid is attached (by aminoacyl-tRNA synthetases). tRNAs cope with the degeneracy of the genetic code in two manners: having more than one tRNA (with a specific anti-codon) for a particular amino acid; and 'wobble' base-pairing, i.e. permitting non-standard base-pairing at the 3rd anti-codon position. Lineage: Eukaryota; Metazoa; Chordata; Mammalia; Proboscidea; Elephantidae. The record is from Rfam by way of RNAcentral.